GAUGAAGAACGUAGCUAAAUGCGAUACGUAAUGUGAAUUGCAGAAUUCAGUGAAUCAUCGAAUCUUUGAACGCACAUUGCGCUCUCUGGUAUUCCGGAGAGCAUGCUUGUUUGAGUAUCAGUAAACACCUCAACUCCUUUAUUGUAGUUGGACUUGAGCUAUCCCAACAGGACUUUUUGUUCCUGGCGGGAGGCUUGAAAUGCAGGUGCAGCUGGACUUUCUUCUGAGCUAUAAGCAUAUUUAUUUAAUCCCUUAACACGGAUUAUUACUUUUUUGCUGCAGCUAACAUAAAGGUUGAAUUUCCAUUGAGCUGACUGAUGCAGGAAUUUGGCAAGGAAUUUUUUUAAUGACUUGUUAAACUCGAUCUCAAAUCAAGUAAGACUACCCGCUGAACUUAAGCAUAUCAAUAAGCGGAGGA
This 418-nucleotide unclassified non-coding RNA is filed under the name soil metagenome. Its description in RNAcentral is "partial contains 5.8S ribosomal RNA, internal transcribed spacer 2, and large subunit ribosomal RNA". The stretch from base 1 to 120 matches the Rfam family "5.8S ribosomal RNA", at positions 35 to 154 of the family's 154-position model. The record is from RNAcentral.